Python bivittatus (Burmese python) is the source of this 193-nucleotide non-coding RNA. NCBI's taxonomy places the organism in Eukaryota, Metazoa, Chordata, Lepidosauria, Squamata, Pythonidae. The record is from RefSeq and is a predicted model, not a curated record.
UUUGAAAUGCUGAGUGUCAAAUGAAGCCACAUCUGGUCUACAGAACAUUUCUCUCAAGAUGGUGCUUUGUGUCAGUUUUAGAAGACGAGAGUGUUUACGCACAUCUACUUGGGAGACCGAGGGCACAAAGGGGAGAUACCAAGACCUUGCUGGGGAAAGAGUUAAUGUGUUUGCAUCCAGAGAAGACCGCACC